RNAcentral lists this ribosomal RNA (410 nucleotides) under uncultured Desulfobulbus sp. RNAcentral describes it as "bacterial SSU rRNA". It matches the Rfam family "Bacterial small subunit ribosomal RNA", at positions 977 to 1382 of the family's 1533-position model. Lineage: Bacteria; Pseudomonadati; Thermodesulfobacteriota; Desulfobulbia; Desulfobulbales; Desulfobulbaceae. The record is from RNAcentral.
GGUCUUGACAUCCCGGAGACCCUUAGGAAACUAGGGGUGCUUCCAUCUGGAAGAAUCUGGAGACAGGUGCUGCAUGGCUGUCGUCAGCUCGUGUCGUGAGAUGUUGGGUUAAGUCCCGCAACGAGCGCAACCCUUGCCUUUAGUUGCCAGCAGUUCGGCUGGGCACUCUAAAGGGACUGCCGGUGUUAAACCGGAGGAAGGUGGGGAUGACGUCAAGUCCUCAUGGCCUUUAUGACCAGGGCUACACACGUACUACAAUGGCCGAUACAAAGGGCAGCGACACUGCGAGGUGAAGCCAAUCCCGUAAAAUCGGUCUCAGUCCGGAUUGGAGUCUGCAACUCGACUCCAUGAAGUUGGAAUCGCUAGUAAUCGUGGAUCAGCAUGCCACGGUGAAUACGUUCCCGGGCCUU